RNAcentral lists this ribosomal RNA (479 nucleotides) under uncultured bacterium. Its description in RNAcentral is "bacterial SSU rRNA". It matches the Rfam family "Bacterial small subunit ribosomal RNA", at positions 29 to 507 of the family's 1533-position model. The record is from RNAcentral.
AUGAACGCUAGCGGGAGGCCUAACACAUGCAAGUCGAACGGGAUUGAGAGCUUGCUCUCAUGAGAGUGGCGCACGGGUGAGUAACGCGUAUGCAACCUGCCUUUAACUGAGGGAUAGCCCAUAGAAAUGUGGAUUAAUACCUCAUAGUUCUGAGUUACCGCAUGGUGAUUCAGAUAAAGCUCCGGCGGUUAAAGAUGGGCAUGCGUGACAUUAGCUAGUUGGUGAGGUAACGGCUCACCAAGGCUACGAUGUCUAGGGGUUCUGAGAGGAUGAUCCCCCACACUGGUACUGAGACACGGACCAGACUCCUACGGGAGGCAGCAGUGAGGAAUAUUGGUCAAUGGGCGCAAGCCUGAACCAGCCAUCCCGCGUGCAGGAUGACGGCCCUAUGGGUUGUAAACUGCUUUUAUACACCAAGAAAAAUCUCCACGUGUGGGGACCCGACGGUAGUGUAUGAAUAAGCAUCGGCUAACUCCGUG